RNAcentral lists this long non-coding RNA (267 nucleotides) under Lepisosteus oculatus (spotted gar). RNAcentral's name for it is "lncRNA (ENSLOCG00000022978.1)". Lineage: Eukaryota; Metazoa; Chordata; Actinopteri; Semionotiformes; Lepisosteidae. The record is from RNAcentral.
CAGUAAUGUGACACCUGGGUGUUGAGGAAUUGACACGACACUGUCAAACCACGCAUCAGAACAGGAAAGGAAGCAAAGUGAUGCUACAGAACAGAAAGAAAGUGAGAAAAAAGGUACCUGCUCUCAGAAGGUCACCAACAUCCUGAGUAUUGAUCACUGGCCAUUAAUACCCUUGCAAAUCAACAUGAGAACUCUGUAAAGGUGAAGUCCAUGUCAGACUAUGAAAUGUCCUCAUUUAGUCAAUGAAUUGGAAAAGAUACCAAGACC